Molecule: ribosomal RNA, 774 nt
Filed under: uncultured Neocallimastigales
Lineage: Eukaryota; Fungi; Neocallimastigomycota; Neocallimastigomycetes; Neocallimastigales
Description: partial large subunit ribosomal RNA
Rfam family: Eukaryotic large subunit ribosomal RNA
Source: RNAcentral
CGCAUCUGUGCAUGCAGCAUAUCAAUAAGCGGAGGAAAAGGAACUAACAAGGAUUCCCUUAGUAACGGCGAGUGAAGCGGGAAGAGCUCAAAUUUGAAAUCUUCAAGGUUUUACCUUGACGAAUUGUAGUUUAAAGAAGUGUUUUCUGUUGAAGUUUUGGUAAAAGUUCUUUGGAAUAGGACAUCAUAGAGGGUGAGAAUCCCGUAUUUGACCAUUAUUUUCAGCUGUGUGAUACACUUUCAAAGAGUCGGAUUGUUUGGGAAUGCAGUCCAAAAUGGGUGGUAAAUUUCAUCUAAAGCUAAAUAUUGGCGAGAGACCGAUAGCGAACAAGUACCGUGAGGGAAAGAUGAAAAGAACUUUGAAAAGAGAGUUAAACAGUACGUGAAAUUGUCAAAAGGGAAGCGUUUGACACCAGUGUUGUUUUUCUGAAAAUCAAUUAAAGAACUGUUUAUGCUAAGCUGUUUAGACUUUAUCAGCUAUCUGUUUAGUUUUGAGCUUUUCUUUAAUGCACUUUUCAGUUAACAAGUCAACAUCAAUUUCUUUUGCUGUAAAAAAGCUUGAGGAAGGUGGCUUGAGAUUCGUCUUAAGUGUUUAUAGCCUCUUGCCUAUGCAGUCGGAGAGAUUGAGGUCUGCAGCGUAGAUCCUUCGGGGCUAAAUGCAUUUGUGCUAAGUUAUAGCAUUUUAUAGACAACUUGUUGACUAUGAUUUGUCUUGUAGCUUACUCGCUUAUGUUAUUUUACCUACGCUUAGGAUGUUGAUGUGAUACUGCGAGCA